This 513-nucleotide ribosomal RNA is filed under the name uncultured bacterium. RNAcentral describes it as "partial 16S ribosomal RNA". It matches the Rfam family "Bacterial small subunit ribosomal RNA", at positions 28 to 523 of the family's 1533-position model. The record is from RNAcentral.
GACGAACGCUGGCGGCAUGCCUAAUACAUGCAAGUCGAGCGAACAGAUGAAGUGCUUGCACUUCUGACGUUAGCGGCGAACGGGUGAGUAACACGUAAGGAAUCUACCUAUAAGCGGGGGAUAACAUUCGGAAACGGGUGCUAAUACCGCAUAAUAUCUUCUUCCGCAUGGAAGAAGAUUGAAAGACGGCUCUGCUGUCACUUAUAGAUGACCUUGCGGUGCAUUAGUUAGUUGGUGGGGUAAUGGCCUACCAAGACGAUGAUGCAUAGCCGACCUGGGAGGGUGAUCGGCCAAAUUGGGACUGAGACACGGCCCAAACUCCUACGGGAGGCAGCAGUAGGGAAUCUUCCGCAAUGGGCGAAAGCCUGACGGAGCAAUGCCGCGUGAGUGAAGAAGGCCUUCGGGUCGUAAAACUCUGUUAUAAGAGAAGAACAAAUUGUAGAGUAACUGCUACAGUCUUGACGGUAUCUUAUCAGAAAGCCACGGCUAACUACGUGCCAGCAGCCGCCGUAA